This 494-nucleotide ribosomal RNA is filed under the name uncultured bacterium. RNAcentral's name for it is "partial 16S ribosomal RNA". It matches the Rfam family "Bacterial small subunit ribosomal RNA", at positions 30 to 507 of the family's 1533-position model. The record is from RNAcentral.
AUUGAACGCUGGCGGCUUGCUUUGCACAUGCAAGUCGAACGGCAGCGGGGAGGAGCUUGCUUCUCUGCCGGCGAGUGGCGCACGGGUGAGUAAUACAUCGGAACGUGUCGAGAAGAGGGGGAUAACCACCCGAAAGGGUGGCUAAUACCGCAUAAAUUCUGAGGAAGAAAGCUGGGGACCUAGGCAUAGGCCUCGCGCUUUUUGAGCGGCCGAUGUCGGAUUAGCUAGUUGGUGAGGUAAAGGCUCACCAAGGCGAAGAUCUGUAGCGGGUCUGAGAGGAUGAUCCGCCACACUGGGACUGAGACACGGCCCAGACUCCUACGGGAGGCAGCAGUGGGGAAUUUUGGACAAUGGGGGCAACCCUGAUCCAGCCAUGCCGCGUGUAUGAAGAAGGCCUUAGGGUUGUAAAGUACUUUUGUUAGGGAAGAAAAGUCAGCUGUGAAUAAUGGCUGAUACUGACGGUACCUAAAGAAUAAGCACCGGCUAACUACGUG